Molecule: long non-coding RNA, 833 nt
Organism: Asparagus officinalis (garden asparagus)
Lineage: Eukaryota; Viridiplantae; Streptophyta; Magnoliopsida; Asparagales; Asparagaceae
Exons: 3
Source: RefSeq, a predicted model, not a curated record
AGUACUGUAUUGCAACUAUAAUUGCUUCAGUCCCUUCCUUCCCUUUAAAAAUGUGUGUAUCUCAUAAUAUUAUUCAUGAUAUGCUUAAUCCUUGCUAUGACAAAUUCACUCAUCAAACCCCUAUGUUCUCUUUCUGUUUUAAACUCAUUGUUAAGCAAUUUCGUGUCUGAAACUCCUGUUUUACUCUGCUGGACAUCUAAUUCUGUGUUGUAUAUGGAAAUUGUGAGCUGUCCACCUUAUAAUUGUCAAACCACAAUAAUCCCUCUAUAAUGUCUUCUUGAUUAUAGUGCGAGAUAAUGCAAUUGUUGUUGUCAUCAUGACAGCUAGCUUGAACUCAGAAGUGUAGUUUAUAACUAACGAUUCGAAAAUUUUGACUUUAUUUCCUAUCAGAUUUGCAUGCGGAUUCGGAAGAGGCAACCAAUUUAUAGACCCCCACUACACGCUCCAUACCUUCAGAUCAUUCGGUGAUGUGUCUACAUCUGCAGCAGCUUGUCUCCCUAAGCAUCCUUUUGGUAUUCAACUUAAUCGCGCAGCUAAAGGCAUGCAGGAUCGAGGUGAUAGACCAUCAGAGCAAUCACAGCAUACCUGUAAAAGCCACGGCCCGAAUAAAAGCCAAUAAGCUACAUCCCGAUAUUGAGAAGGGGAAGGUGGCAUGGCCUCCGUAUGUCAAUUCCAAACGCCACCUUGUUAGCAACUGUUGAGAAUGUAAUGCAAUUAACGGGUCUUAGAGGGCCUUUGUGUAAACGUGUGUGUAAGGCUAUAUAAGCCAACAAUUCUAUCAAUGAGAAUAUGAGAAGAAACCCUAGAAAACCCAAUUCACUUAACAUGGUAUC